UGGUUCUUUCUCGAAUACAAGAAAUUACUUAAUCAAAUUAGUGAGCAAAGUUGUGGUCUUACGGACUGAAAAUAAAUAAAAACCAGCGAGUCGUCUUCUCUGUACAUAUGAGGGUAUUAUUUCUACGCGGUAGUACAGAGAUUAGAGCGGGGUAGAGGUUAUGUUCAUGUCCGUUUUGUUCGGGUGAUGGCAAAUUGGAGAUUCCUUCGAAGUAAAGUAAGAUUGAAAAAGAGUAUUUCUUGGCACAUAAGAUAUUGGAGAGCCCGAGACUUGAGUCGGGAUUUGUUUAGCGAGCGAUCGAGGUACAGACGCUCAUUGUGGUAAUCUGCCCGCCUAGGAUACCUAUUCUGCUACUUUGGAGUGCUCCUUUGAUCCGGAGCCCAUACUUUUGGUACAAAUUUUCUGUUGCAUAAAUUUAUGUAUAUAUAUAUAUAUGACUAUUUGGGGGUACGGCGGGGCCCUGUCCCGUCAUAUGUUUCUGUUGUUGUUCGUAGAGGCCUGUAGACAUAUAUGUGGGUCAUGGGUCGUGUUUGUUCGGUUAUGUCUGUGACUUGUGCCUUAAGCGGCCCCGUUUGCUAUUAUGGCCGAAACGGCCCAUAUGUUUGUAUAUGUAUGUAUAUUCAGGCGAUGUGUAUUCCGCCAGCCUGCCGGCUUUGUAUGAUAUUUCUGCUACAGGUGACCGCUUAAGACGACGUCUGUUCUCAGUAUCUGUGCAAA
Molecule: long non-coding RNA, 717 nt
Organism: Lycium barbarum (goji berry)
Lineage: Eukaryota; Viridiplantae; Streptophyta; Magnoliopsida; Solanales; Solanaceae
Exons: 3
Source: RefSeq, a predicted model, not a curated record